This 755-nucleotide ribosomal RNA is filed under the name uncultured Psychrobacter sp. RNAcentral's name for it is "bacterial SSU rRNA". It matches the Rfam family "Bacterial small subunit ribosomal RNA", at positions 28 to 776 of the family's 1533-position model. The record is from RNAcentral. Lineage: Bacteria; Pseudomonadati; Pseudomonadota; Gammaproteobacteria; Moraxellales; Moraxellaceae.
AUUGAACGCUGGCGGCAGGCUUAACACAUGCAAGUCGAGCGGUAACAUUUCUAGCUUGCUAGAAGAUGACGAGCGGCGGACGGGUGAGUAAUACUUAGGAAUCUACCUAGUAGUGGGGGAUAGCUCGGGGAAACUCGAAUUAAUACCGCAUACGACCUAUGGGAGAAAGGGGGCAACUUGUUGCUCUCGCUAUUAGAUGAGCCUAAGUCGGAUUAGCUAGAUGGUGGGGUAAAGGCCUACCAUGGCGACGAUCUGUAGCUGGUCUGAGAGGAUGAUCAGCCACACCGGGACUGAGACACGGCCCGGACUCCUACGGGAGGCAGCAGUGGGGAAUAUUGGACAAUGGGGGAAACCCUGAUCCAGCCAUGCCGCGUGUGUGAAGAAGGCCUUUUGGUUGUAAAGCACUUUAAGCAGUGAAGAAGACUCUUCGGUUAAUACCCGGAGACGAUGACAUUAGCUGCAGAAUAAGCACCGGCUAACCCUGUGCCAGCAGCCGCGGUAAUACAGAGGGUGCAAGCGUUAAUCGGAAUUACUGGGCGUAAAGCGAGCGUAGGUGGCUUGAUAAGUCAGAUGUGAAAUCCCCGGGCUUAACCUGGGAACUGCAUCUGAUACUGUUAGGCUAGAGUAGGUGAGAGGAAGGUAGAAUUCCAGGUGUAGCGGUGAAAUGCGUAGAGAUCUGGAGGAAUACCGAUGGCGAGGGCGGGUCUCUGGGCCGUUACUGACGCUGAGGAGCGAAAGCGUGGGGAGCGAACAGG